Heterocephalus glaber (naked mole-rat) is the source of this 685-nucleotide long non-coding RNA. NCBI's taxonomy places the organism in Eukaryota, Metazoa, Chordata, Mammalia, Rodentia, Bathyergidae. The record is from Ensembl.
UGAAUGACUCUCGGACUAGAAGUCCUCGGGAAGAUGGAAUUCUAGGGCAGUUAGAGGAAGGGACAGGCAGUGCUCAGUAGCAACCUCCCCCCAGGCCGAGGCAGGUGAGGACUCGACUACUCUCCUCCCUCCUGGGGCUCCAGAGGCAGCCCCCCUGGGCAUAGCGGCCCCUGCCCUCCCAAGCUAAGCCUGCGCGGAAGUUUCCGCACCCACACCCCCAGCUUCUCGCCCAGACCCGCAGCUCCCUCCGCAGCCGGAAGCCCUCAAGUGCCAGAUCUCGGCAAAUUUUGCGGUUGCUCCGCAUCGGGCAGAGAUUGCUUGCGACAGCUUUAGGAGCAUCUGCGUUUAGCUGUGCCUGGUCCCUGUCCCAUUGCCCAUUGUGCAGGUGGGCAAAUGUUGGAUCCCGGUAUCGAACGAACAGCUGCUUCCUCCUCCCUCACCCCACUUUGGGGCUCCGAAGCCACUCCAGGCGAAGUCUGACACUUCUCUCCAGACUCACAUCUUCCCAUCGCACCUCAGUCUGGUCGGUGGUGGGACCUGGGAACACGGCUGAUACCCAGGCCGGUUCGCCUAGCUGGUGAGCCUAGCCACCCACAGCCAAGUGCAUGCAGGGCCAGGCCGUCGCCGGCUUGUUAGAGUGUGAUUGAUUGCCUUAUUAAAGCGUGUUCUUGUAAGUGUGACCAAA